Molecule: ribosomal RNA, 207 nt
Filed under: uncultured delta proteobacterium
Lineage: Bacteria; Deltaproteobacteria
Description: partial 16S ribosomal RNA
Rfam family: Bacterial small subunit ribosomal RNA
Source: RNAcentral
CGUGUAGGCGGCUCCUUAAGUCUGAUGUGAAAGCCCUGGGCUCAACCCGGGAAGUGCAUUGGAAACUGGGGAACUUGAAUACGGGAGAGGGUAGUGGAAUUCCUGGUGUAGGAGUGAAAUCCGUAGAUAUCAGGAGGAACACCGGUGGCGAAGGCGGCUACCUGGACCGAUAUUGACGCUGAGACGCGAAAGCGUGGGGAGCAAACA